Non-coding RNA from Arsenicicoccus sp. oral taxon 190, 366 nucleotides. Lineage: Bacteria; Bacillati; Actinomycetota; Actinomycetes; Micrococcales; Intrasporangiaceae. The record is from Rfam.
GGGGGUGAUCGGUUUCGACGUUGGUCGAUCUACCAGGGGAAGCGGGCCGAGGAUGCUGAGUUGUCUCGUUAACGCCCUCAGCAAGCCAAUAGGUGCCAAUUCCAAGCGCACCGACUUCGCCCUCGCCGCCUGAGCGAGCUCGAAGUCUGUCGACCUAGGCCUGAUCUCGUCCUAGUGCUCGGCAUCAGCUAGAGAUCUGGCUGCGCGCCGGUGUCGGGACGGCGCGUGGGACUCCUUCUCGACUGGGCCUGUCAGGGGACGUGUGCGCGCGAGCUCUGGGGCCGAGAAAAUCCUUUGCGCACUGCGCCCGGAGAAGCCCUGGUGCGUCGUCAGCGGACGCGGGUUCGAUUCCCGCCACCUCCACCA